UUCAAAAUGGCGAUGAGAAUUAGACUCAUCCCUGCUGUGGUGCUUUGCUUCCUAGGACUGGGCCUUGUGGACAUGGACGUAACCCAGACGCCAAGAUAUCUGGUCACAAGAACGGGAGAGGAAGUUUUGCUGGACUGUGUACAGUAUUUGGGCCAUGAAAGAAUGUACUGGUAUCGACAAGACCCAGGUCUAGGGCUACGGUUGAUUCAUUUUUCAUAUGAUGUUGACAGUAACAGCGAAGGAGACAUCCCUGAAGGAUACAGGGUCUCUCGAAAGAAGCGGGAGUCUUUCUCCCUGAUUCUGGAGUCUGCGAAAACCAGCCAGACGUCUGUGUACUUCUGUGCCAGCAGUUUAUCCACAGCUCGUUCCUAUGAGCAGUAUUUCGGUCCAGGCACCCGGCUCACAGUCUUAGAGGAUUUGAGCAAGGUGAGUCCGCCCAAGGUCACCUUGUUUGAGCCAUCAGAAGCAGAGAUCGUCGACAAACAAAUGGCCACCCUUGUGUGUCUGGCCAGGGGCUUCUACCCUGACCACGUGGAACUGAGCUGGUGGGUGAAUGGCAAGGAGGUCCACAGUGGAGUCAGCACAGACCCUCAGCCCUACAUGGAGAACAAUAACCUCACCUACUGCCUGAGCAGCCGCCUGAGGGUCUCUGCGACCUUCUGGCACAACCCUCGCAACCGCUUCCGCUGCCAAGUCCAGUUCUAUGGGCUUACAGAUGAAGACGUGUGGAACGAGGACUCGCCCAAGCCUGUCACCCAGAACAUCAGUGCAGAGGCCUGGGGCAGCGCAGACUGUGGCAUCACCUCAGAAUCCUAUCAUCAAGGGGUCCUGUCUGCCACCAUCCUCUAUGAGAUCCUUCUGGGGAAGGCUGCCUUGUAUGCUGUGUUUGUCAGUGCCCUGGUGCUGAUGGCUGCGGUUAAGAAAAAGAAUUCCUGAGACUGACUCUUGUGCAUCCUGGGUUGCUCUCUAUCCUGAUCCUGGAUUCUUCUGCACCUUCUCCCGUCCCUCUUCCUAAGGAGUUAUUCUUUCUUCAUAGCAUGCUUCCCCUCCAUGAAUAUCUGUCUUUCCUUGCCGCUUCCCAAAGACUGACCUCCUGACUCUGAAACAGACUAAGCCAAUAAAAGUGUUGACUGGA
Non-coding RNA from Arvicola amphibius (Eurasian water vole), 1135 nucleotides. NCBI's taxonomy places the organism in Eukaryota, Metazoa, Chordata, Mammalia, Rodentia, Cricetidae. The record is from the annotation of a RefSeq genome assembly.